CAAAGCACUUUGAAGAGAGAGUUAAAGAGGACGUGAAACCGGCAUGAUGGAAACGGAUAGAGCUGGUGAAGCGGUUCGUAUUCAACCGAAUGCUGUGGCCUAACAGUCAUUUGCUUAGGUGCAUUUGCGGACAACUGCGCUGAGACUUGUAGGGAAGCGGCUGGACCCUGAUCAAGAGGCUUUCCUUUGGAUUGAACCCUGGUCUGGCUACUACUGUUUUCCCUGCCCGUACCAUGUGGCAAGGCAUACGGGCGAAGCUGACUUUGGUGUUCUCUCAAGCUGACAUCGCAUGCGAUGUCGACUGAAACGAGCACCGGCUUUGGUGGAGCUCUCGAGCCACUUCUCGGUGUAGAAGCCGGUCAUCUAUCCGACCCGUCUUGAAACACGGACCAAGGAGUUUAGCGUAUGCGCGAGCCGAUGGGCGUUUAAAACCCACAGGCAGAAUGAAAGUGAAGGCUCGGUCGCUGAGCUGACAUGCGACCAUCGGAGAUUCGUCGCCGGUGGGCAGCAUGGUCCCGUUCUGGCCGCUUGCGGCAGAGCGGCGACAGAGCGUAUGCGCUGAGACCCGAAAGAUGGUGAACUAUUCCUGAGCAGGACGAAGCCAGAGG
Molecule: ribosomal RNA, 608 nt
Filed under: Trophotylenchulus floridensis
Lineage: Eukaryota; Metazoa; Nematoda; Chromadorea; Rhabditida; Tylenchulidae
Description: eukaryotic LSU rRNA
Rfam family: Eukaryotic large subunit ribosomal RNA
Source: RNAcentral